CUGACCUAUCAGCUUUCGACGGUAUGGUAUUGGCUUACCGUGGCAGUGACGGUUAACGGGGGAUUAGGGUUCGAUUCCGGAGAGGGAGCCUGAGAAACGGCUACCACAUCUAAGGAAGGCAGCAGGCGCGCAAAUUACCCAAUUCUAACAGUUUGAGAGAGGUAGUAACAAGAAAUAACAAUACAAGGCAGUUAAAAUGCUUUGUAAUUGGAAUGAUAGAAAUUUAAACCCUUUUUAAAGUAUCAAUUGGAGGGCAAGUCUGGUGCCAGCAGCCGCGGUAAUUCCAGCUCCAAUAGCGUAUAUUAAAAUUGUUGCAGUUAAAAAGCUCGUAGUUGAAGUUCUGCUGAAAGUAACCGGUCUGCUUUUAAUAAAAGUGGUAUCUUGGUAUGUAUUUAGCAAUGAUGUCCUUUGAAGUGUUUUUUACUUUAUUGUAAUAAAGCAUAUUCAGGACUUUUACUUUGAGAAAAUUAGAGUGUUUCUAGCAGGCUGACGCUUUGAAUACUGCAGCAUGGAAUAAUAAGAUAGGAUUUUAGUUCUACAUUAUUGGUUUUAAGAGCUAAAUUAAUGAUUGAUAGGGACAGUUGGGGGCAUUUGUAUUUAACUGUCAGA
This 609-nucleotide ribosomal RNA is filed under the name Hepatozoon sp. Its description in RNAcentral is "bacterial SSU rRNA". It matches the Rfam family "Eukaryotic small subunit ribosomal RNA", at positions 307 to 909 of the family's 1831-position model. Lineage: Eukaryota; Apicomplexa; Hepatozoidae. The record is from RNAcentral.